Gorilla gorilla gorilla (western lowland gorilla) is the source of this 3431-nucleotide long non-coding RNA. RefSeq lists it as uncharacterized. NCBI's taxonomy places the organism in Eukaryota, Metazoa, Chordata, Mammalia, Primates, Hominidae. The record is from RefSeq and is a predicted model, not a curated record. The transcript has 3 exons.
GGCGUCUGGUGCUCAAGGAAAGUCAGCUCCCGCCGCCCCUCAGGGCCAGGUGGGUGCAUGAAGUACCCAGUGGCCCAGGUGCCUUUCCCCAACCCAAGGAGCUCAGAACUCUUGGCAGUUCGACGUUUGCAAACAAACCAAAGAGGAGCAGAAAGUUUUCAGACUCAGAGGCGCCAUCCCAACAGCUUGGCUUGAAGGAGUACUUUAGGACGCAGAACAACAGGAUGAAGACAGCAGCUAAAAUAGAACACACCAGCAGAGACGUUCAGCUCCUCGAGCUGUGCUUCCGAAGCUCAAGCAUGGCAGAGUGGCCUUGUUAAAUCAGAGUUGAGGGUGCCACCCUGACAGUUUCUGAUUCCGUUACCAGACCGGAGCCUCCACCAAUCCAGGAGCACAAACAAGGAUGCCUUAAAACAAAGCUUGUGUCAGGGUACCCUUCGCUGCCUCAGAGGAAAUCAGAAUGACCUGGUGGACAAUUGUUCAUAAGGACAAGAGCCAGCAUCACUGCCUUUGAGUCCCAGCCUCCUCGAAUCCAUUUUCUGCACUGCACCACCUCAUCAUAUCCCAGAUAUUGUUAGUGUCGUGUCAUUUCAUGACUCAGGAGCUGCGGGUGACUUUGGUAAGAGCGGAGCAGUCGCUGUCUCAUCUGUCACCUCCUCCCCUCACCUCUGUGCAGCCAACAUCCAGGGAGCCUGCCUCUUGCUGUCCUUUUCAAAGCUUUCUGGGUCUCUCCUCUGUGCCUCUGAUCCGGUCUUUCAUGCUGCCCAGAACACUGUCUCUUUCUCCCAUGCCAGUGACAUCCAUUACUUUCUUCAAGGUCUGGCUCAAAACCCAGCACUCGGCCAGGCACGGUGGCUCACACUUGUAAUCCCACCACUUUGGGAGGCCAAAGCAGGCAGAUCACGAGGCCAGGAGAUUGAGACCAUCCUGGCUAACACAGUGAAACCCUGUCCUACUAAAAAUACAAAAAAUUAGCCGGGCGUGGUGGCAGGUGCCUGUAGUCCCAGCUACUCGGGAGGCUGAGGCAGGAGAGUGGCAUGAACCCGGGAGGCGGAGCUUGCAGUGAGCCAAGAUAGCACCACUGCACUCCAGCCUGGGUGACAGAGCAAGACUCUGUCUCAAAAAAAAAAAAAAAAAAAACUCAGCACUCUUGGGAAAUUUCCCCUCCAGGGAGACAAGGUCACACAGGGCACAGAGAACCUUGGUGGGAGGCAGAAGCCCUAGGUUUGUUUAUGUCCUGGCUCAGACACUUUGCAGCCUCAUAGAUGACAUUAAACAAGCUCCUUAGCCUGUUAUCUUACUUUGGGCUACCCUAAAAGCAGAGACUAUGAUAUGGACUUGGAUAUAUGUAGUUAAUUUGGGAAGUGAUCCAGGGAAGCCAGAAUGAGGGGUGGGAAGUAGGAAAAAUCAAACAACUAUGUGUCAUUGAGCCCACUGCUCCUGUGGGCUACUGGAGAUCAGUCACACGGGGUACUCUCUGUGAACCGUGUUCAAAGCCCCUCAGAAUUGGCCCCCCAAAGAAUGGGAGGCUGGGAUCUCUAUCUAUUGACUGAACUCCUAUUCCCCAUGGUUGAAGGUUGCCCUGGGGGCACCACUGGGGGCUGACAAGACUCAAAGGCUUUCGAGAAAAGCCCUGAAACAGUGAAGUGAGGUGUGCUGGAAGUGGAGCACUGUCACCACCCACCUGCACACCACAGAGGUGGGCUAAGGGUGAAGUAUGGCUCACAAAAAUCUUCUGCUAAAUACCUGUCUGUGCCUCAGUUUCUUCCUCUUUAAGAUGGGGUAACUAUCCACAUUUUAGGGUAGCGUCAAAUGACAGGUGACAUAUGCGAAGGCCCCUCCCUCAGCACAUGCCAGCCACCCCAGCUCCCUUACUGUGUCCACUCAACACUUAACAACUGUUGUAUUCGUCAUGUCUACGUGCAUGUACGGUCCCUCAGUGUUAUCUAUGGCUAUUUCAGGUCCUUUAUCUUAGCUGAAGAUAAGGGCAGGUUCUUCCCUUCUUUUUUGUCACCCAUCCCAAAGUGCCUACCACACAGCUGAAUGCCAAGUAGGUCCUUGGUACAAAUGGGUGUCGAGUGAAUUUGCUGUCCCAAAACAGUCAUCUGUGAGCCUGUUCUCUUCCACGGAGAUGCCCUGCAAGGCCAUGGAGAAGCCAUAGGGCAGUGUCCUAGCCUGCUUCUUACAGCUGAGAGACCAGCUCCAACAUUGCGUGAGCCCAUUGCCAGACUGCUGGUGAAGUACCAUGCUCUGUGGCAAACACAUGGCAGCUUGGGGAGGGAAGUCUUCUGACGCCCUGAGCCCUGGCAGGGCAAUGGGCAGUAGAUCAAGCUGGCCUGCCCUGCGUGGGCCUUCAGCAGGGAUGCAGGCAAGGCUCCCAGAAGACAAUGACUCAGGCCUGCAUCUGUGACUGGUUAUUCCAGAUGCUGCCCUGCAAUGGGACUGUUCUCUGCUCCCCCCACCCCCGACACCCGUACAGCACGGGAAUGCAUGAGAGUGAGCCUUGGUUUCUUUAGGGGAGUCACUGCGUAAUUGGAGAGCAGUGUUCAUGGACAAGACAAAGGAGGGCCGGGGCAAGUAAGGGAAGAUGAGAAGAUGAUGUUCCAAACUACUCUCGGCAUAAAAUGUGCUUUGAAUAUUUUGGAUUAUUUUUCCAAUUGUAGAGAGAGUUUUCCCUGAGACACUGGUUCAUCACCAAGUCAGGUGACGCUGGGUCUGGGGCACUCUGCAUCUACAGCCUGGAACACAAUCGUCUUCUCUAGGCAAAACCACGUGACUCACAUGAGGCUCAAAGCUGGAGCCUUCUUGCUGUCUAUACCAUACUUAGCAAAGACAACAGGCUUAACUGCUCUGUGACAAAUGCUAAACAACUUCUCAAAAACAAUAAACAUCUUCUACCUACCUGAAUGUUUACAUUUAGACAGGCCUUUAAGAUUAUUAGUCUCUAUAAAAAUAUACAGGCAUACCUCAGAAAUAAUUCAAGUUCAGUUCCAGGCCACUGCAAUAAAGCAGAUAUCACAAUAAAGCAAGUCACACAAAUUUUGUGGUUCCCCAGUGCUUAUCAAAGCUGUGUUUGCACUAUACUAUAGCCUAUUAAGUGUGCAAUGAUAUUAUGUCUUUAAAAAAAGUACACACGCUAUUUUAAAAAGACCUUAUUGACAAAAAGUGCUGACAGACACAAAGUGAGCACAUGCUCUUGGGGAAAAUGGCACCGAUAGACUCAUUCGAUGCAGGGUUGCCGUGAAUUCAAUUUGUAAAAAACACAAUACCUGUGAAGCAUAAUAAAGUGAAAUGCAAUAAAACAAGGUAUACCUGUAAACAACUCUAAAAUCAGUUAUUUACUCUUUUUUCCCUUCACCUGGAAUUCCUACCUGGUUAUCUCUAACUACAGUAAUCCCAUCCUUAAGACCUUGCUCAAAUGCCCCCUCCUC